AUACGGAGGGUGCUAGCGUUGUUCGGAAUUACUGGGCGUAAAGCGCGCGUAGGCGGACUGAUCAGUUGGGGGUGAAAUCCCAGGGCUUAACCCUGGAACUGCCUCCAAUACUGUCAGUCUUGAGUUCGGGAGAGGUGAGUGGAAUUCCUAGUGUAGAGGUGAAAUUCGUAGAUAUUAGGAAGAACACCAGUGGCGAAGGCGACUCACUGGCCCGAUACUGACGCUGAGGCGCGAAAGCGUGGGGAGCAAACAGGAUUAGAAACCCUAGUAGUCC
This 274-nucleotide ribosomal RNA is filed under the name uncultured bacterium. RNAcentral's name for it is "partial 16S ribosomal RNA". It matches the Rfam family "Bacterial small subunit ribosomal RNA", at positions 523 to 796 of the family's 1533-position model. The record is from RNAcentral.